This 253-nucleotide ribosomal RNA is filed under the name uncultured bacterium. Its description in RNAcentral is "partial 16S ribosomal RNA". It matches the Rfam family "Bacterial small subunit ribosomal RNA", at positions 524 to 776 of the family's 1533-position model. The record is from RNAcentral.
UACGUAGGGCGCAAGCGUUAUCCGGAAUUAUUGGGCGUAAAGAGCUCGUAGGCGGUCUGUCGCGUCGAAUGUGAAAACCCGGGGCUCAACUCCGGGCUUGCAUUCGAUACGGGCAGACUAGAGUUCGGUAGGGGAGACUGGAAUUCCUGGUGUAGCGGUGAAAUGCGCAGAUAUCAGGAGGAACACCGGUGGCGAAGGCGGGUCUCUGGGCCGAUACUGACGCUGAGGAGCGAAAGCGUGGGGAGCAAACAGG